UAGAGACAUGUUAUGAACAUUUUUUGUCUACAGUUGUGUUUAUCUAAGGUGAUUUCAAUGAUAAGAGCUUCUGUUCAGUGGGAAACAAUUCCAGCUGCAUUUGAACUGGCAUCUAACCCUUCUGAAACAUCAUUUGAAGCCAGGUGGGAUCUCCAAGAGCACCUCUGGGACAGCUCAAAACGCCUCAAUUUACAGAACUGACUUUGUGCACUUAUGAAAGGAGGUUGCUACACAUUUAUUUGUGUCUCAGCCCUUCCAGAGCUGCAGCAGCCCCAGCAAUGUCCAUGAACACCUGCCACUUUCACACUCUGGAGAGAAAGUACCGAGGAUGUUGCGAGGCCUUGAAUGGGAAGAGUGAUUUUGCACCUCCAGGCCAAACAGCUGUGUUACCCCAGCACUGCCAUUUAGUCAGCAUUUAUCUUAUUUUCUUACAUGAAAGCAAUGCUUAGGAUCUAAAUAGAAUUCUUCAUCUCCAAAGAGUUAAACAAACCUUGGUAAUUAAUCCAUACAGAAUCCUGCAAAGAUGCUUUCUUUUCAAAUGCAAA
Molecule: non-coding RNA, 545 nt
Organism: Zonotrichia albicollis (white-throated sparrow)
Lineage: Eukaryota; Metazoa; Chordata; Aves; Passeriformes; Passerellidae
Source: RefSeq, a predicted model, not a curated record